RNAcentral lists this ribosomal RNA (279 nucleotides) under uncultured bacterium. Its description in RNAcentral is "partial 16S ribosomal RNA". It matches the Rfam family "Bacterial small subunit ribosomal RNA", at positions 337 to 632 of the family's 1533-position model. The record is from RNAcentral.
UCCUACGGGGCGCAGCAGUGGGGAAUAUUGCACAAUGGGGGAAACCCUGAUGCAGCAACGCCGCGUGAGUGAAGAAGUAUUUCGGUAUGUAAAGCUCUAUCAGCAGGGAAGAAAAAUGACGGUACCUGAGUAAGAAGCACCGGCUAAAUACGUGCCAGCAGCCGCGGUAAUACGUAUGGUGCAAGCGUUAUCCGGAUUUACUGGGUGUAAAGGGAGCGCAGGCGGUGCGGCAAGUCUGAUGUGAAAGCCCGGGGCUCAACCCCGGGACUGCAUUGGAAA